AUACGGAGGUUGCAAGCGUUAAUCGGAAUUACUGGGCGUAAAGAGUACGUAGGUGGUUUGUUAAGUCAGAUGUGAAAGCCCCGGGCUCAACCUGGGAACUGCAUUUGAAACUGGCAAACUAGAGUAUGGUAGAGGGGGGUAGAAUUUCUAGUGUAGCGGUGAAAUGCGUAGAUAUUAGAAGGAAUACCAGUGGCGAAGGCGGCCCCCUGGACCAAUACUGACACUGAGGUACGAAAGCGUGGGUAGCGAACAGGAUUAGAAACCCUAGUAGUCC
This 274-nucleotide ribosomal RNA is filed under the name uncultured bacterium. Its description in RNAcentral is "partial 16S ribosomal RNA". It matches the Rfam family "Bacterial small subunit ribosomal RNA", at positions 523 to 796 of the family's 1533-position model. The record is from RNAcentral.